AAAACGGAGAGUUUGAUCCUGGCUCAGGAUGAACGCUGGCGGUAUGCUUAACACAUGCAAGUCGAACGAAAUCUUCGGAUUUAGUGGCGGACGGGUG
RNAcentral lists this ribosomal RNA (97 nucleotides) under Nostoc sp. KVJ20. RNAcentral describes it as "partial 16S ribosomal RNA". It matches the Rfam family "Bacterial small subunit ribosomal RNA", at positions 1 to 108 of the family's 1533-position model. The record is from RNAcentral. Lineage: Bacteria; Bacillati; Cyanobacteriota; Cyanophyceae; Nostocales; Nostocaceae.